Molecule: ribosomal RNA, 499 nt
Filed under: uncultured bacterium
Lineage: Bacteria
Description: bacterial SSU rRNA
Rfam family: Bacterial small subunit ribosomal RNA
Source: RNAcentral
GAUCCUGGCUCAGGAUGAACGCUAGCGGGAGGCCUAAUACAUGCAAGUCGAGCGGUAGAGUGACUUCGGUUGCUUGAGAGCGGCGAACGGGUGAGUAACGCGUACACAAUCUACCUUUAAGAGGGGAAUAGCCCUGGGAAACUGGGAUUAAUGCCCCAUGGCAUCACGAGACGGCAUCGUUUUGUGAUUAAAGCUGAGGUGCUUAGAGAUGAGUGUGCGUCUGAUUAGCUAGUUGGUGCGGUAACGGCGCACCAAGGCGACGAUCAGUAGGGGGCGUGAGAGCGUGGACCCCCACACGGGUACUGAGACACGGACCCGACUCCUACGGGAGGCAGCAGUAAGGAAUAUUGGUCAAUGGAGGAAACUCUGAACCAGCCAUCCCGCGUGCAGGAAGAAUGCCCUAUGGGUUGUAAAGCUCUUUCAGCAGGAACGAAACGGUGGUCCCUAAUACGGACUACUAAUGACGGUACCUGAAGAAGAAGCACCGGCUAACUACGUG